AGGAAGAAGCUGAGAAAAUUACACAACCAAUUCUAGAUGCUCUAGGUGAAGACUAUUCUACUUAUUGCGAAGGAACUGCAUUUUUUCCCUUGCAAAGCUGUAUGAACCAUUCCUGUUGUCCUAAUGCCAAAGCUUUCAAAAGAGAUGAGGAUAGAGACGGCCAAGCAACAAUAAUUGCACUGAGGUCCAUCUGCAAAGGAGAAGAGAUAACCAUUUCAUAUGUUGAUGAAGACCUUCCAUUUGAAGAGAGACAAGCAUCCCUUGCAGAUUACGGUUUUAGAUGUAAAUGUCCAAAGUGCAUUGAAGAAGAGCCAUAAAUAGUGUUACAACCCCAUGCAAACAUUUAUACACAACAUAGUCCAAUUUUAUAAAGAGGCUGAAUGCAAGGUUUAACAAUGAAUUUUAUGCAUGGAACCAAAAUCAAUUUUGCAAAGCUUGUGUAUUUCUAUGAGAAGAUUAGUUCUAGAAGAAGACCUGCUAAGUGGUAGCAAUCACUCCGAGCUCAAAUAAAUAUAGGUAAUGAGAUUUUUAAAAUUAGAGAUUACUUUUAGCAUUGAUAUCAUUAAAUUUAAAUAUUUUUGAAGUUGCGAUAGUGAGUAUAAAAUUGUCAAAAAAAUUCAUAAAGAAUAAUGUUUUGUUCAAGAAUUUAGGCUCACAAUGUCGACGGAGAAUAGUUGGAUGACAACUCGAUAGCGGUAUUUGAUUGAAAUUGAUUUUUGAGGACUUGCAAAAGUACUACCUGCAAAUUUCCUGCAAACACUCCGACGCUCAAAUUAGUAUAAGGGCAUAGGAUUUUUAAAGUUAGAGAGCGCGUACCUUGAGUAUUCUAAUCUAGAAAAAGACCUACAAAGUGUUUGCAAACAUUCACUCUUACGCAAAAGUACCUGCAAACACUCCGACGCUCAAAUUAAUAUUGACAAUUAGAAUUUAAAAUAUGUACCGUAAUUUUUAGUUUGAUGGCCAAAAUACCUGCACCUACUUCAUCAUUCAAACUAGUAUUGACAAUGAGAUUUUUAAAAUUAAAAAUAUGCAUACCUUAAACGAUGGUAAUUUAAGCUUAUAUAUCUGAAGUUGUGGUAUUUGAAUUUAGAGCCU
This is a long non-coding RNA of Vicia villosa (hairy vetch), 1095 nucleotides long. RefSeq lists it as uncharacterized. The record is from RefSeq and is a predicted model, not a curated record. Lineage: Eukaryota; Viridiplantae; Streptophyta; Magnoliopsida; Fabales; Fabaceae. The transcript has 4 exons.